This 400-nucleotide ribosomal RNA is filed under the name uncultured bacterium. Its description in RNAcentral is "bacterial SSU rRNA". It matches the Rfam family "Bacterial small subunit ribosomal RNA", at positions 361 to 777 of the family's 1533-position model. The record is from RNAcentral.
AUAUUGGACAAUGGGCGCAAGCCUGAUCCAGCCAUGCCGCGUGGAUGAUGAAGGCCCUAGGGUUGUAAAGUCCUUUCGACGGGGAAGAUAAUGACGGUACCCGUAGAAGAAGCCCCGGCUAACUUCGUGCCAGCAGCCGCGGUAAUACGAAGGGGGCUAGCGUUGCUCGGAAUCACUGGGCGUAAAGCGCACGUAGGCGGGCUUUUAAGUCGGGGGUGAAAUCCUGGAGCUCAACUCCAGAACUGCCUCCGAUACUGGAAGUCUCAGAGUCCGGGAGAGGUGAGUGGAACUGCGAGUGUAGAGGUGAAAUUCGUAGAUAUUCGCAAGAACACCAGUGGCGAAGGCGGCUCACUGGCCCGGUACUGACGCUGAGGUGCGAAAGCGUGGGGAGCAAACAGGA